Molecule: long non-coding RNA, 928 nt
Filed under: Nicotiana benthamiana
Lineage: Eukaryota; Viridiplantae; Streptophyta; Magnoliopsida; Solanales; Solanaceae
Description: long non-coding RNA (NBEN_LNC013717)
Source: RNAcentral
GACAAAUCAAAAUAGUAGAAACAAACAUGGAAAAAGUAGUUAACAGGCGAUUGGAGCGUUAAUUCUUAUGAUGAUCGUUCGGGUUGUUACAGUCAAAAAAUCUCGUGUGCUCCUCUUCCUUUAGCUGAGACCAGCCUCUAAACCCACCAUGAAAACCAGUGAGAAACCUCUAUUAAAAUGCUCCAAACUGUCAUGAAAAAACAACUGCUUCUUCUUUCCAAAAUACACCAUCUUUAGCUCCAAAACCAGCUCAAGAACGUCCCUUUCUCAGCCUAAAAACGCAACUAAAAUAGCUGCGAAAACAACCGAGAAAAGUAGUGAAAAUCAGCUGCAAAACAGGUCCAAAAUGCUGCCCUUUUUCCAGCCGAAAAUCACCUUUAAAUCAGCCCCAAAUCACUGCAAAACCCCCCAGCAAAUCACUUUAUUUUCAGCCCAAAAUCGCUGCAAAACCCUCAGCAGUUCACCUCCCAAAUCAUCCUUCAAAACCAUCCUUAAACAAACUGUAAAUCAUCUGUUUUAGUUGUGUAAAUAACAGCGACAGGAGCUCACAAAAUCAGCCCCAAAGCAGCCCUCAAAUGCAUCCAAACAUCAUCAUUUUCACCCUGAAAAUCUUGCUAGUUGCAGCUGGAAAUCACCUUGCUAAGCAGCUUUCAAAAUCAGUUUCGAAACUAUCUUUAAAGUGAGGUGAUGUUCGAGUUCGCCGGUUCAAGGUUCCGGCGAUGUCACCUGUAGAAGUCUCUGAUUUUAGUUCAGAUCUUUAGCAAAAGUAUUAAAUCGGAUCUCUUCAUUGUGCGUGGAUUUGAGAGCUCUCAUUUUAAAUAAAAAUUGCGGCUGAUUGAGGUCUGUUCUUGCCUAUUUCGAUUUAUAUUUUUGGUCGAUCUAUUUAUUAUAUUUGUUUAUGAAUCACUGUUUAUGUGUUUGCUUAUGG